UACGGGGGGGGCAAGCGUUGUUCGGAAUUACUGGGCGUAAAGGGUCUGUAGGUGGCUUGCUAAGUCAGACGUGAAAUCCCUCGGCUUAACCGGGGAACUGCGUCUGAUACUGGCGAGCUUGAGUGCAGGAGAGGAACGCGGAAUUCCAGGUGUAGCGGUGAAAUGCAUAGAUAUCUGGAGGAACACCGGUGGCGAAGGCGGCGUUCUGGACUGCAACUGACACUGAGAGACGAAAGCCAGGGGAGCAAACGGG
RNAcentral lists this ribosomal RNA (253 nucleotides) under uncultured bacterium. RNAcentral describes it as "partial 16S ribosomal RNA". It matches the Rfam family "Bacterial small subunit ribosomal RNA", at positions 524 to 776 of the family's 1533-position model. The record is from RNAcentral.